GCAAGUCGAGCGCGCCUUUCGGGGUGAGCGGCGGACGGGUUAGUAACGCGUGGGAAUAUGCCCUUUGGUACGGAAUAGCCUCUGGAAACGGAGAGUAAUACCGUAUGAGCCCUUCGGGGGAAAGAUUUAUCGCCAAAGGAUUAGCCCGCGUUAGAUUAGGUAGUUGGUGGGGUAAUGGCCUACCAAGCCUACGAUCUAUAGCUGGUUUUAGAGGAUGAUCAGCAACACUGGGACUGAGACACGGCCCAGACUCCUACGGGAGGCAGCAGUGGGGAAUCUUGGACAAUGGGGGCAACCCUGAUCCAGCCAUGCCGCGUGAGUGAUGAAGGCCUUAGGGUCGUAAAGCUCUUUCGCCUGUGAAGAUAAUGACGGUAGCAGGUAAAGAAACCCCGGCUAACUCCGUGCCAGCAGCCGCGGUAAUACGGAGGGGGUUAGCGUNGUUCGGAAUUACUGGGCGUAAAGCGCACGUAGGCGGAUCGGAAAGUUGGGGGUGAAAUCCCGGGGCUCAACCCCGGAACUGCCUCCAAAACUAUCGGUCUAGAGUUCGAGAGAGGUGAGUGGAAUUCCGAGUGUA
This 574-nucleotide ribosomal RNA is filed under the name uncultured bacterium. RNAcentral describes it as "bacterial SSU rRNA". It matches the Rfam family "Bacterial small subunit ribosomal RNA", at positions 57 to 677 of the family's 1533-position model. The record is from RNAcentral.